RNAcentral lists this ribosomal RNA (482 nucleotides) under uncultured bacterium. RNAcentral describes it as "partial 16S ribosomal RNA". It matches the Rfam family "Bacterial small subunit ribosomal RNA", at positions 30 to 507 of the family's 1533-position model. The record is from RNAcentral.
AUUGAACGCUGGCGGCAUGAUUUACACAUGCAAGUCGAACGGUAACAGGCCGCAAGGUGCUGACGAGUGGCGCACGGGUGAGUAAUGCAUCGGAACGUGCCCAGUCGUGGGGGAUAACUACUCGAAAGAGUAGCUAAUACCGCAUACGAUCUAUGGAUGAAAGCGGGGGACCGUAAGGCCUCGCGCGAUUGGAGCGGCCGAUGUCAGAUUAGGUAGUUGGUGGGGUAAAGGCUCACCAAGCCAACGAUCUGUAGCUGGUCUGAGAGGACGACCAGCCACACUGGGACUGAGACACGGUCCAGACUCCUACGGGAGGCAGCAGUGGGGAAUUUUGGACAAUGGGCGCAAGCCUGAUCCAGCAAUGCUGCGUGCAGGAAGAAGGCCUUCGGGUUGUAAACUGCUUUUGUACGGAACGAAACGGCUCUGGUUAAUACCCGGGGCUAAUGACGGUACCGUAAGAAUAAGCACCGGCUAACUACGUG